GACGAACGCUGGCGGCGUGCUUAACACAUGCAAGUCGAACGAUGAACCCGGAGCUUGCUCCGGUGGAUUAGCGGCGAACGGGUGAGUAACACGUGAGUAACCUGCCCUUGACUCUGGGAUAACUGCGGGAAACUGUAGCUAAUACCGGAUACGACCCUCGGCGGCAUCGCCAGGGGGUGGAAAGAAUUUCGGUCAAGGAUGGACUCGCGGCCUAUCAGCUAGUUGGUGAGGUAACGGCUCACCAAGGCGACGACGGGUAGCCGGCCUGGGAGGGGGACCGGCCACACUGGGACUGAGACACGGCCCAGACUCCUACGGGAGGCAGCAGUGGGGAAUAUUGCACAAUGGGCGCAAGCCUGAUGCAGCAACGCCGCGUGAGGGAUGACGGCCUUCGGGUUGUAAACCUCUUUUGGCGGGGGACGAUGAUGACGGUACCCGCAGAAUAAGCCCCGGCUAACUUCGUGCCAGCCGCCGCGGUAA
Molecule: ribosomal RNA, 480 nt
Filed under: uncultured bacterium
Lineage: Bacteria
Description: partial 16S ribosomal RNA
Rfam family: Bacterial small subunit ribosomal RNA
Source: RNAcentral